GCCGUCGGGAAAGGGUGUCGCUUCUCGCUAACAUUCAACAGUUAAUGAGACAUUUUGAGACAAAGUCAGUUGUUCGAAUUAAUUAUUUCUUGUCGAUAUGCAGUGACCGCCGGCAGGUAGAGUUUUGGUCAAGUUAGCGGUUUCAAAAUAAAGUACUUGUUACCAAGUUGUCUUUCGACGCGUCGGAGGCGGAUAGGAUUCAACGCACUUCACAGAAUGCGACCCGGGAGCAGCAACAACAGUUAAUUUGAUCAGCAUUUCAGGAAGAGCCUCGUCUACAGAGAUCGAGUAUCGUUGCGGCAAGUGACACCUAUUGCCCUUUAUACGCUGGGAUAAAGCCAACUCUUGCUGCUCGUCUUGGUAGAGGCUUCCAGCUAGUUGGUAUUAGAGAUAAGGAUAAGGACUUCAUAAAGUUACCGCCAGAAUUAGGUUGGAUCCAGUUCAUGUGGACAAACGACCACGACACCACGACCUGGAGGUGGUCGUCCUGGUGCUGUUCUACACAAACUGGUCUCCCACUGCAGGGCUCGGGCGACCACAGCCAGGCCACGAGGACAGUCUCGGGGUACUGAGGAACAUCUAAACGACGACAAAGUGGCACGACAUUGCCUGUCACCACGUAAAGUACCAUCUGUCACCCAGCCUUUGAUACAUUGUUUUGCCAGAAAAUGGCCAGGUUUCCUGAAUGGUGAAGUUGUAAAAUAUUAAAACUUAAUGUUAUUGAAUACCUUAACCAGGAGGUCUGUUAAUGUUCAGUGUCGACUCGACAGAACUUGUCACUAGGGACCUGAAGAGUCAAUAGGGGAAGUGUGUGUUUUAAGGUAAAAUUAAAUCCUCGACUCUUGUUACGGAAACUAUAUUAAUUGCUAGUGACUUCAAUGACAUUGAAACGAUGCAAGGGGGGGGGGCGGAUUUCAACGACCACUUGUAUAACAAUUUCCCCCCCCCCCUUUUUAAAGACUAGUGUAGGUGGAAUACUUAUAAACCUGGUUACAUAGCUUUCCAGGUUCGCAUUGUUUUGAUAAUUACUUGUAAAACCUGACUAUGGCAAUAUUUUGGGCCUCGCUCCCAGUGAUCUCACUACGUACUUACGAUGGAUGACUUACUUGUUUGGCAGUUAACUAUUACCUGGAAGAAACUUGAACCCUGGCUAGAAUCUCCAGUGUUCUAAAAAGACAUUUUAGGUUUUUUAUAUUCAAACUUGUUUUAAUUGGGCAACUAACAAUGCAACUAUAAGACUUAUCUUAUUUGCCUAUAUUUCUCAUCACUGAACUGCAUUCUGUAUUGCUUUAAAGUAUGAAAAUAAAUCUCUAAACCAU
Molecule: non-coding RNA, 1319 nt
Organism: Procambarus clarkii (red swamp crayfish)
Lineage: Eukaryota; Metazoa; Arthropoda; Malacostraca; Decapoda; Cambaridae
Source: RefSeq, a predicted model, not a curated record